AUAUAGUUGUGUUCGUAUUUUGAUCAGUGUAACAUAUAUGUUGAUAGGAAUUGCAAUCUCUUUUAAUUUGACUCAAACUGUGUAGUAGCAGUGGCGAAGCCAGAAAGUUAUAGUAGUGGGGUCAAAAUUAUUAGUAAGUUAUAAAAAAUUUGACGGGGGUUCGGGGGCAACGGCCCCGAGACAAUUUUUUUUAAUACUGUAUACUUUCGGGACAGACAAAUGCAUCCAAAUAUCUAAUUUAAUAAUACUAACAAAAAGGGGAAAUCACAAUUGAUUUAUGAAAACAAAACUGAGGUUUGGCUUUGCCCCAUCUCUCUCUAUUUUGUGGUUGAAGUGCUGAACAGAUAUUGAUGUAUGAGAUUUAGGACUGAGGCUUGGCCGCUUGGGUAUCUCUAAUUAAAAAAAAAAUCUGAGUGGGGUAAAAACUUUUUUUUAAGUGCUUUCAAAAAUUGAGUGGGGUCAAUUGACCCCACAUUUUCACCCUCGCUUCGCCCCUGUGUAGUAGUAUCACAGGGUGUGGUAUCUAACUUGGACAUCGACUAGGUUUUCCAGUCCGAAAUAUUAAUAGAUUAUCAUAUAUUCAUUAUAAAAGAAAAAAAUAUAGGGAAAAAAAGUAAACGAUAUUUCAGUUAAUAAAACCUUGAACAAAUACACAAAACCAUUGAGAAACAUGGAUUUUGAGUAAAGCUUGCUUAUUG
This 698-nucleotide long non-coding RNA is filed under the name Panax ginseng (ginseng). Its description in RNAcentral is "long non-coding RNA (PGIN_LNC019215)". Lineage: Eukaryota; Viridiplantae; Streptophyta; Magnoliopsida; Apiales; Araliaceae. The record is from RNAcentral.